This 118-nucleotide ribosomal RNA is filed under the name Bacillus haynesii. Its description in RNAcentral is "partial 16S ribosomal RNA". It matches the Rfam family "Bacterial small subunit ribosomal RNA", at positions 1 to 115 of the family's 1533-position model. Lineage: Bacteria; Bacillati; Bacillota; Bacilli; Caryophanales; Bacillaceae. The record is from RNAcentral.
UUCAUGGAGAGUUUGAUCCUGGCUCAGGACGAACGCUGGCGGCGUGCCUAAUACAUGCAAGUCGAGCGGAUAGAUGGGAGCUUGCUCCCUGAUGUUAGCGGCGGACGGGUGAGUAACA